GUGGUAUUAGUUCCGACGUGCCAUUGAAAAUCGCGGCUGGACGUGUAAAAGGAAAGGAGAAGGUCAACAAGGCUAAGGAGGCCAUCCGAUCGCAGGAUUUAAACGUUGAAACGACACGUUUAAGGAAAGCUAGUCCUGCUAUGCGAUCUCCUUUCAACGAGCGUGCUGUAAGGCUUACUGCCAAGGCUAACGGCAAUGACAAGGAACUAUAUUUCUGGGUUCUGAGCACAGCGGAGACGCAUAAAUCGAUCAGGGAUGCAAUUGUUUACGAAGACUCCUACAAACAAACAGUGAAGUCCGAGUUCCUUUCACUGGCACCAUUUAAACCUGUC
Molecule: long non-coding RNA, 332 nt
Organism: Salvia splendens (bonfire salvia)
Lineage: Eukaryota; Viridiplantae; Streptophyta; Magnoliopsida; Lamiales; Lamiaceae
Exons: 3
Source: RefSeq, a predicted model, not a curated record